Molecule: long non-coding RNA, 1222 nt
Filed under: Ananas comosus (pineapple)
Lineage: Eukaryota; Viridiplantae; Streptophyta; Magnoliopsida; Poales; Bromeliaceae
Description: long non-coding RNA (ACOM_LNC041572)
Source: RNAcentral
AUUCAUUCACUUUUACAUCACAGUUUCUAUUUACAUUUUUACUUCCAAAUUACAAUCUCAUCACAUUAGGGUUUACAAGUUUAAUACAUUUUGUUUUUCCUUGUCUUCUAGUCCCCUAAGCUAGACUGCCUCAGGGUACUUCUACCUCGGUCUCUGUGGCAAGGCGCUAUCUACUGAGCUACGCCCUCACCUCGCGCCGUCGCGCCGCACACGUACAACCUGAAAACACCCCGAAACAACAUGGGGUGAGAACCAACUCCAUGGUUCCCAGUGGGUACGGCCACCCAAGGGAAAAGCUCGACCGAUAGGUCCGAGGAGGCUCUGCAACAUGUUAGUUCAACAAUAUACAACAGAUAUAUAUAUUCAAUUGAAAUACAUGCCAUGCCUCACAAUAUGCGAUAUGCAAAUCAUGCAACUCUACGCAACAUCUAGUAGAUCCAUAGAUUCUACAUUUACUUGGCUACUCUUAGCUCGCAUCUUUACUCUAAGGCUUCUAUUACCUUAGGAUCUCAAGCCUCUAUCUCUAGCUCAUAGGGGUUCCUCUACCCUAUCAAAGCUAACCACCCGACUCGGCUUCGAGUCGAUCAUCCGCGGAUAGCCCGCGCACUGGCUGCUCAUCAGCCUACCGCCCUCUCUGUCUCAGCCCCCUAGCGGCGAAGUCGUCGUACACGCUAAGCCUGGCUCAAGUCGCACGACUUGACCAUCUGGCGGCGAUCACGUUGCUCUUACCCAGCGUGAGCUCGAGACCUGACACGCCGUCUGGCGGCGAACGGGUCGCACCACACCCAACAACAGCACAUGUCAGACUCAGCCACCUGGAGGCACCCGCAUCGUACUUACCCAGCAUGGAUUCAGUCUGCUCUGGCGGUCUGAUCCUCAGUCGGCUUAACCACCCGGCGGCGAAAUCGUCGCACAAACGCCACGUCAAUGGUUCAAGCCUCGGGCGGUGAUCUCCACGUGAUCACCCCCAAUCCUCUCUCGGUACCAAGCUCGGCGGCGAAGUCGUCGCACAAACGCCCUAGCUUUUACCAGGGUCAUAACAAGUCAUGGGAUUCCGGAAUCCAUUUCACAUCACAUAGGGUUGGUCUUAACCCUAUGGAACUGACCUCUCUAGGUCUAAGCCUUUACUCAACCUAAGUUCACCCAUUAGGUUUAUUGCUUUCACAUUCUUAACCUAGGUUUAUUACACUAGGAUCAUUAUUCUUUCCAACCUAGGUUCACU